UCCCUCUGUCAUUUGUCUUGUCAGUCAUUGUAAAUGUUGCUUGUUUUCCUGAGAGGAAUCUCUCCUAUUUCCUGAACUUUAUUUUGCACUUUAGGUCUCGUCCUGCAUUUAUUUAGAUAUAUAUGUGUGUGUAGAGAGAUAUAUAUAUAUAGAAUGAGAGAGAGGGGGUUUUAAUAAACUCAGUAGUUCUAAACCUGCGACUGCCAACUCUACGCCUUUGUCAGUGGGUUUGUGGCUCAGUCUAUCUAACUGAACAUUGUCUCUCCAGAUGAUUGUAAAGAACCUGUCCACAGGGAUUGCAGGUUGUGCUGAAAUCCCACUACGGCCAUGAGAUAGACGAGGUGAAGAUCAUGAAGAAGGACUGCUACCUGGUGGCCCACACCUCUGAUACCCUGCUGCUGGGAGACUUGUCCUCCAACAACCUGAGUGAGAUGGCAGGGCUCCCAGGGGGAAUGAGAAAUUCUUCUUUGAAAAUGAAAUGGAAUUCUGAAUUGUCUCAGAGUAGGGAGUCAGCUGCUGACUGAUGUGUUGUCAGCUGUGUAUGAUUUGCAACACUGGGGCGCUGAUGCUGGUGGAGUACGGCAGCAACAACAUCCUGGGAUCAGUGAGAACUGAGUUCAUGAACCCACAUUUCAUCUGUGUUUGUCUCAAUGAGCGCAAACAGAAUGGAUUUGAAGACAGCAACAAGUUAGCCUACCUGAUUGACAUCAAGACCAUUGCCAUUGCCGCCCGUCAGUGAUUGAUACUAUGCCCUACAGGCACAGCUCAGGUAAUCUUCUCCCUCCCACUCACAGUGGAUUUGGCUGGCGGUUACAACCUGGGAACCAUCAGCCAUGACUCCAAGACUGACUUGUUGGAGCUCAACUAGAUGGGGCGCAAGCUGCUUUACAGAACAGCCCAAGUCGUUGGUGUAUGGACUCUACAAGGUGUCGGAAGCGUUUCACAGAGAUGCUUGCCCAUGUUGACUCCAAUGCUUCCCACAGUUGUGUCAAGUUGGCUGGAUGUCCUUUGGAUGGUGAACUAUGAUACACAUGGGAAACUGUUGAGCGUGAAAAACCCAGCAGCAUUGCAGUUCUUGACACAAACGUAUGCACCGUAUGUACCCUGCUCAAAGGCAAAUAUUUUGUCUUGCCCAUUCACUCUCUGAAUGGCACUCAAA
Oncorhynchus tshawytscha (Chinook salmon) is the source of this 1159-nucleotide long non-coding RNA. RefSeq lists it as uncharacterized. The transcript is spliced from 6 exons. NCBI's taxonomy places the organism in Eukaryota, Metazoa, Chordata, Actinopteri, Salmoniformes, Salmonidae. The record is from RefSeq and is a predicted model, not a curated record.